AUUGAACGCUGGCGGCAUGCUUUACACAUGCAAGUCGGACGGCAGCACAGAGAAGCUUGCUUCUUGGGUGGCGAGUGGCGAACGGGUGAGUAAUAUAUCGGAACGUACCGAGUAAUGGGGGAUAACUAAUCGAAAGAUUAGCUAAUACCGCAUAUUCUCUGAGGAGGAAAGCAGGGGACCUUCGGGCCUUGCGUUAUUCGAGCGGCCGAUAUCUGAUUAGCUAGUUGGUGGGGUAAAGGCCUACCAAGGCGACGAUCAGUAACGGGUCUGAAAGGAUGAUCCGCCACACUGGGACUGAGACACGGCCCAGACUCCUACGGGAGGCAGCAGUGGGGAAUUUUGGACAAUGGGCGCAAGCCUGAUCCAGCCAUGCCGCGUGUCUGAAGAAGGCCUUCGGGUUGUAAAGGACUUUUGUCAGGGAAGAAAAGGCUGUUGCUAAUACCGACAGCUGAUGACGGUACCUGAAGAAUAAGCACCGGCUAACUACGUG
RNAcentral lists this ribosomal RNA (490 nucleotides) under uncultured bacterium. RNAcentral describes it as "partial 16S ribosomal RNA". It matches the Rfam family "Bacterial small subunit ribosomal RNA", at positions 30 to 507 of the family's 1533-position model. The record is from RNAcentral.